GGAGGCAGCAGUGGGGAAUAUUGCACAAUGGGGGAAACCCUGAUGCAGCGACGCCGCGUGGAGGAAGAAGGUCUUCGGAUUGUAAACUCCUGUUGUUGAGGAAGAUAAUGACGGUACUCAACAAGGAAGUGACGGCUAACUACGUGCCAGCAGCCGCGGUAAAACGUAGGUCACAAGCGUUGUCCGGAAUUACUGGGUGUAAAGGGAGCGCAGGCGGGAGAACAAGUUGGAAGUGAAAUCCAUGGGCUCAACCCAUGAACUGCUUUCAAAACUGUUUUUCUUGAGUAGUGCAGAGGUAGGCGGAAUUCCCGGUGUAGCGGUGGAAUGCGUAGAUAUCGGGAGGAACACCAGUGGCGAAGGCGGCCUACUGGGCACCAACUGACGCUGAGGCUCGAAAGUGUGGGUAGCAAACAGGAUUAGAUACCCUGGUAGUCCACACCGUAAACGAUGAUUACUAGGUGUUGGAGGAUUGACCCCUUCAGUGCCGCAGUUAACACAAUAAGUAAUCCACCUGGGGAGUACGACCGCAAGGUUGAAACUCAAAGGAAUUGACGGGGGCCCGCACAAGCAGUGGAGUAUGUGGUUUAAUUCGACGCAACGCGAAGAACCUUACCAAGUCUUGACAUCCCUUGACGAUGCUGGAAACAGUAUUUCUCUUCGGAGCAAGGAGACAGGUGGUGCAUGGUUGUCGUCAGCUCGUGUCGUGAGAUGUUGGGUUAAGUCCCGCAACGAGCGCAACCCUUAUGGUCAGUUACUACGCAAGAGGACUCUGGCCAGACUGCCGUUGACAAAACGGAGGAAGGUGGGGAUGACGUCAAAUCAUCAUGCCCUUUAUGACUUGGGCUACACACGUACUACAAUGGCGUUAAACAAAGAGAAGCAAGACCGCGAGGUGGAGCAAAACUCAGAAACAACGUCCCAGUUCGGACUGCAGGCUGCAACUCGCCUGCACGAAGUCGGAAUUGCUAGUAAUCGUGGAUCAGCAUGCCACGGUGAAUACGUUCCCAGGCCGUGCACA
Molecule: ribosomal RNA, 1018 nt
Filed under: uncultured bacterium
Lineage: Bacteria
Description: bacterial SSU rRNA
Rfam family: Bacterial small subunit ribosomal RNA
Source: RNAcentral